This 608-nucleotide long non-coding RNA is filed under the name Pongo abelii (Sumatran orangutan). RNAcentral's name for it is "lincRNA". The record is from RNAcentral. Lineage: Eukaryota; Metazoa; Chordata; Mammalia; Primates; Hominidae.
CUGCAGCUAUCAGCAAGGCCAGCCCAGAGAAAGAAAGGCAACAAUAGACCAACAAAGAUGCCAUAGGCCACGCCUUCCUGCUUCAUCCUCCUCCUGUAUCCCUUCAUUCUCCUUCUCCUCUUUCCUCCCCUCCCAAUCUCCUUCCUUCCCUCAUUCCUCCACUUUCGUCUCUUUGCUAUUUCUAGAAAGAAUCUUUUGUCUUGCUAGGCAGAGCAUUUAUAACAAAGGAAAGACAGGAGGCGUAGAUGAUGAAGCAGAGUAGAGCACUUUUAACUGCAGGAGUGUUAGGAUAUGAACACUGCUGUUAGGAUAGAAAAGAGAAAAUCCUCAGAAAUUUUUUUUUUUCCAGAGCAAGAGAAAAUCCAGUGACUGAAAAAGAAUAAGAAGAAAAACACUGACCAAGGCAAUAAUUCCAAGAAGUCAAAAAUUAAGGCUCGAGAAGAAGAAGGCAGACUAAAAAGAGUAGGUGAGACAGUGACCUGAACCAAAGUGCUGGCUCCAUGCUCUGUGACGUUGGGCAUCCUCACUGCCCUCGGAAGCAUGGUCUUGGUGACACUGGUCAGGUGCAUGAAGUGUUAGAAAAUUUUAUUAAAGAUUCCAUGGUUGCA